This 478-nucleotide ribosomal RNA is filed under the name uncultured bacterium. RNAcentral's name for it is "partial 16S ribosomal RNA". It matches the Rfam family "Bacterial small subunit ribosomal RNA", at positions 28 to 507 of the family's 1533-position model. The record is from RNAcentral.
GAUGAACGCUGGCGGCGUGCUUAACACAUGCAAGUCGAACGGGAAACCUUUUAUUGCAGCUUCGGCAGAUUUAGCUGGUUUCUAGUGGCGGACGGGUGAGUAACGCGUGGGUAACCUGCCUUAUACAGGGGGAUAACAGUCACAAAUGGCUGCUAAUACCGCAUAAGCGCACAGAGCUGCAUGGCUCAGUGUGAAAAACUCCGGUGGUAUAAGAUGGACCCGCGUUGGAUUAGCUGGUUGGUGGGGUAACGGCCCACCAAGGCGACGAUCCAUAGCCGGCCUGAGAGGGUGAACGGCCACAUUGGGACUGAGACACGGCCCAGACUCCUACGGGAGGCAGCAGUGGGGAAUAUUGCACAAUGGGGGAAACCCUGAUGCAGCGACGCCGCGUGAAGGAAGAAGUAUCUCGGUAUGUAAACUUCUAUCAGCAGGGAAGAUAAUGACGGUACCUGACGAAGAAGCCCCGGCUAACUACGUG